This 341-nucleotide ribosomal RNA is filed under the name Simulium decorum. RNAcentral's name for it is "partial 16S ribosomal RNA". The record is from RNAcentral. Lineage: Eukaryota; Metazoa; Arthropoda; Insecta; Diptera; Simuliidae.
GCAUAAUCAUUAGUCUUUUAAUUGAAGGCUGGUAUGAAUGGUUGGAUGAGGUACAAGCUGUGUCAUAAAAAUUAAUUUUUGAAUUUACCUUUUUAGUCAAAAGGCUAAAAUAUCAUUAAAAGACGAGAAGACCCUAUAGAGCUUUAUAUAAUUUGUAUUAAAAUUAUUAAGAUUUUUUAAAUUUAAUUAUUUUAUUAUAUUUUGUUGGGGUGACAGUAAAAUUUAUAAAACUUUUAUUUUUAUUAGCCAUUUAUUUAUGAGUAUAUGAUCCAGUUUUAUUGAUUAUAAAUUUAAGUUACCUUAGGGAUAACAGCGUAAUUUUUUUUGAGAGUUCUUAUCGA